GCCGGUGUGGCGGAAUGGCAGACGCGACGGACUCAAAAUCCGUUGUUGGCAACAACAUGUGGGUUCAAGUCCCACCACCGGUACCA
This 86-nucleotide transfer RNA is filed under the name Clostridia bacterium. RNAcentral's name for it is "tRNA-Leu". It matches the Rfam family "tRNA". From Rfam's summary of the family: Transfer RNA (tRNA) molecules are approximately 80 nucleotides in length. The record is from RNAcentral. Lineage: Bacteria; Bacillati; Bacillota; Clostridia.